UACCAGCACCCCGAGUGGUCGGGACGAUUAUUGGGCCUAAAGCAUCCGUAGCCGGUACUGCAAGUCUUCCGUUAAAUCCACCUGCUCAACAGUUGGGCUGCGGGGGAUACUACAGCGCUAGGAGGCGGGAGAGGCAAGCGGUACUUAAUGGGUAGGGGUAAAAUCCACUGAUCCAUUGAAGACCACCAGUGGCGAAGGCGGCUUGCCAGAACGCGCUCGACGGUGAGGGAUGAAAGCUGGGGGAGCAAACCGG
RNAcentral lists this ribosomal RNA (253 nucleotides) under uncultured bacterium. RNAcentral describes it as "partial 16S ribosomal RNA". It matches the Rfam family "Archaeal small subunit ribosomal RNA", at positions 474 to 727 of the family's 1478-position model. RNAcentral also lists the same sequence under 1 other name. The record is from RNAcentral.